This 23-nucleotide ribosomal RNA is filed under the name Pseudobaeospora lilacina. RNAcentral's name for it is "partial 18S ribosomal RNA". Lineage: Eukaryota; Fungi; Basidiomycota; Agaricomycetes; Agaricales; Tricholomataceae. The record is from RNAcentral.
CGCAGUGACUGCGGAUGACAUUA